Molecule: long non-coding RNA, 1734 nt
Filed under: Homo sapiens (human)
Lineage: Eukaryota; Metazoa; Chordata; Mammalia; Primates; Hominidae
Description: PREDICTED lncRNA (TCONS_00077445)
Source: RNAcentral
UUUUUGAGAAUCAUGAUGAGGCAUUAAAGAAGAGGAGGAGUGUCUCAAGGGAGGUGAGCUGGAGGUGAUGCAAGGAUGUCUGAUCUGAAAGCAUGUUGUGGUCCGCUACACACAAGAGCAAAAGAAGAGCAGGAAGGAGCUCAGUGCCAAGACCAUAGCCACAGGAAGAAAACCAGCUCUUAGGGCUGCAGCUCUAAAGACAGGCCAGGUCAUUACAGGAACGUCUGCUCCCUUAGCCUUGCCAGACAGAGGAGGGUUAAGAAAGGAACUGCUGACCCUGAUAUGCAAACUGCCACGAGUGCUUCCUGCCUUUCUAUCAGCAUCAGAUGGCUAGCGAUGGAUGGCUGUGGAGAGAGGAUGCCAGACAGAUAUUUGAGCAGAACAAAGAGAGCCAACAGGAUGAAGGCAUUCCCUGGCUGGUUGGACAAGCAACUGAAGAACAGGAACAGAAGUGAAUGAAAAGAGAAGAUGCUGUGUUUGUGUUUUCUCUUGGUUAGAAUGCUGUGAGUCAGGACCUUAGCUGCUGGGUGUCCUGGGACUGCCUUCGAUGAAGAACCUGAGGCUCACCUUGCUUAAGUGACUUGAGCAGCUUCACGCAUCUUUCUGACAUUCCAGCAAUACCGGAGCAUUGACAGUUGAUAAUAGCUCUAUGUGCUACCUCUCCAAGAAACAAAUUUGCAUUUUAACCUGCCCCUUCAAUGGCUGAACUUCAAAGGGUCACUGAUGAAUGCCACAGCAGAGAAAACUGCAAAUUGGAACAGCAGAGCUGUGCCUCUGGCCAUUUCCUGGAACUACAGAGGAGCAACUUGCCCCGGUUUCCAGUGGGUGAUGUUCCUCUUCUGCCACAGUCCCUGGCGAUGUUGAUGUGAUUGCCAUCAGAGCUCAGAAGCACAGAGCAGAAUCAUCCCCUGGAGGAGGAUUCCCUUCAGUGUAAGAAGUUCUUACAGAAUUAAUCCUCAAAGACUGUGGGUGGACUCUGCCAGGUUUUUCCCCGGGUGUACCAGAAGAGAGGAAGAGCCCUCAAAUACAGGAAAGUGCUCUUUUCAGUGACAGUAGUUCUUUUGGGCCCUGUGGCUAAGUGUGCUCCCACCCCAGCAGUAAGAUCACAGCUAAUCCUGAGAGGCAAGAGCUCACACCAGGCUACUGAAAGAAAAAGUGUCCUUUGUGGAUUGCAAGAGGAACUGGGACACACUGCUGGAAAUGAAGUGGCAGGUCAUAAACUAUCAUAAACUCAGGAGGAGAGGUGUUCCUUUUUGAGACACUCAUCACAACUAGAGAGAAUGCAGCUAAGAAAAUGCAGUCUUUAGGGGGACCUGGACUGUUGAAGUAUUUGAGCUAUUCGGAGGAAAUAGAAACUUGGAAGAGAUCUUUGUUCCACUAUUAUUUGGCAGCCCCUUACCCGCAGCUGCCAUUACUCCAGAUUCUCUCUGAUGAUCCUGCAUCAGGAGAAUGAGUUGACUGGGCACCACUGGGAAAUGUGGGCAGCUCCAGGCUGAACUAGAGAAGGGGCAUGUCAAAGGUCACUUAUUUGUGGCUUGACCCUUUGGAGGCCAGAUGUAAGAAUCAAUUUCUCACAGGUCCCAUGCUAACGCUUUUCAUAUUUAUUUCCAUCUGAGACUCACUUAGGCUAGGCAAAUAUCCCAUGGGUCUGUACCUCUCCAGUGCUUUCUUGCUCAUGUAAAAUUAGCUCAUUGGAAUGAAUAAAGAGAAUGGUAUUACUUUGGCUCGAACACG